CUACGGGACGCACCAGUGAGGAAUAUUGCACAAUGGGGGGAACCCUGAUGCAGCAACGCCGCGUGGAGGAUGACGCAUUUCGGUGUGUAAACUCCUUUUAUAUGUCAAGAAAAUGACGGUAGCAUAUGAAUAAGCACCGGCUAACUCCGUGCCAGCAGCCGCGGUAAUACGGGGGUGGCAAGCGUUGUCCGGAAUUACUAGGCGUAAAGGGCCGGUAGGCGGAUAUUCAAGUCAGGUGUUAAAGGCAUCAGCUCAACUGGUGUACGGCAUUUGAAACUGGAUAUCUAGAGUCAGGUAGAGGUAGAUGGAAUUCCUAGUGUAGCGGUGGAAUGCGCAGAGAUUAGGAAGAACACCAAAGGCGAAGGCAAUCUACUGGGCCAUGACUGACGCUAAACUGCGAAGGUGUGGGUAUCAAACAGGAUUAGAUACCCGUGUAGUC
RNAcentral lists this ribosomal RNA (439 nucleotides) under uncultured bacterium. RNAcentral describes it as "partial 16S ribosomal RNA". It matches the Rfam family "Bacterial small subunit ribosomal RNA", at positions 339 to 795 of the family's 1533-position model. The record is from RNAcentral.